This 461-nucleotide ribosomal RNA is filed under the name uncultured bacterium. Its description in RNAcentral is "bacterial SSU rRNA". It matches the Rfam family "Bacterial small subunit ribosomal RNA", at positions 36 to 518 of the family's 1533-position model. The record is from RNAcentral.
CUGGCGGCGUGCUUAACACAUGGCAAGUUGAACGGUCCGACAUGGAAGCUUGCUGAAGUGUCGGGUAGUAGCGGACGGGUGAGUAAUGCAUGAGAAGCUGCCAUUGGAGGGGGACAACAGUUGGAAACGGCUGCUAAUACCCCAUAUGCCGGAAGGUGAAACGGAGUGAUCCGCCCGAUGAGGUGCUCAUGUCCUAUCAGCUUGUUGGUGAGGUAACGGCUCACCAAGGCGACGACGGGUAGCCGGCCUGAGAGGGUGACCGGCCACACUGGAACUGAGAUACGGUCCAGACUCCUACGGGAGGCAGCAGUGGGGAAUAUUGGGCAAUGGGGGGCCAACCCUGACCCAGCGACGCCGCGUGAGGGAAGACGGCCUUCGGGUUGUAAACCUCUUUUGUACGGGAAGAAGGAUGUGACGGUACCGUGCGAAUAAGUCCCGGCUAACUACGUGCCAGCAGCUGC